GAGGUGCCUACUACUACGUGCAGGCCGCUGACGACGACCAGGAGUAGUUUAGGAGGAUCCCAGGCAGGAGGCCUGCGCCUCUUUCGAUUUGUAUCCCAGUUUGUGCUAGCCAUCUUGUGGCAACUUGUUUAACUUAUGUCUGUACUCAAAUAUUGUUGCUUCCGCUGACUCGUCUAUGAUCGAGCACUUGUAUUCGAGCCCUCGAGGCCCCUGGCUUGUAUUAUGAUGCUUGUACGACUUAUUUAUGUUUUAGAGUUGUGUUGUGAUAUCUUCCCGUGAGUCCUUGAUCUUGAUCGUACACGUUUGCGUGCAUGAUUAGUGUACGAUUGAAUCGGGGGCGUCACAAGUUGGUAUUAGAGCCGACUGCCUAUAGGAAUCCCCCUUCCACACUCCUUGGCCGAAGUCGAGUCUAGACAUUACAAAACUUUUACUAACAUGGAUGUGUGCCUUAUGGGCCCACGUCGCCAUUGGGUAAUAUUAGGAUCUUUUAUUCCUUGAUCCUUACUCUGGGACUCUGAUCUCUCUUCUAUUCGGGUUAAAUGAUUUUACUAAAUCUGACUCUAGGUUCUCGUAACUACUUCUCCCGGAGAGCCCCUUAUCACAGAUGAUCGCCUACUGCACCAGAAGAUUUUGAAGAUACUCUUCGAUCAUUCCCGAGACCCUUGUGCCCUCUGCCUUUUCAAUUCCCUAUUAUCGAUAUAUCCAUAUGGAUAACGACAUACACUUGUUGUUCAUACGAUUACUCUGUGUUUCUCUUGUUACUACAAGAUGCAUCGAAUUGCUCUCCGACUCUUAAGAAUCCCUUGUACCACUGCCUUGUAGUUCCUUGCUGCAGAAAUACCCAUACGGAUAAUUCUUCGCACUUAUCGAGUAUCCAGUCAUUCCCAGUUGUUCUUGUGUUCCGCAAAAGACAUCGAAAUACUAUUUGAUCUUUCGAAAAUGCUCAACAGCCUAUUGUUCUGGGAAUUCUUGCAUACUUGCAUUCCGGUUAAUUCCUUGGUCUAGCAAUUUACUUUAAAAACCUUUGUGAUUGUCAUUCUGAUCCUUUUGAUUCAACUUGUGUGUGAAUGCACACAAUCAUCAGUUGUUCCCUGGAAUUUAUCCUUCCUAUUCAGACGUCAUUCCAGACAUGAGCUGGAUCUCGACCAAUCAAAUUGCCAUAGAUUGUACCCCUAAGGCUAUUCAACUUAUCCCUGCAUUUAAGCUUUGAGUUAGUCAGUUGUUUCUAUAAUCCGAUGCACUUGCAUCCCUUCUUCCUUUGAUAGAGUACUGAUAUUCACAUCAGCUCCGUUGUAGACCACCGGACCUCUUGUUGGAUUAUUAUCCAACAGUGUCCUUCAUAUUCAAAUAACCUUGUGAGCCUUUCCACGAAUAUAUAAAGCCUGGGGUAAAUUGUAUCCUCUGUUUUCUCAACCAUGCUCUGUUUUUGAGCUAGUGGUAUUUACUAUUGAAGCUCGUGGUAUAUGUUUCCAUGAUACCCUGACGGGUCGAACCUAUGCCUUCCUAAAUAUGUGUGAACUCAAAAGUUUUCACGAGUCAUACUCAUCUGGUAUUUCACCAGGUAAAACUUUCAACACUAAUGCCUUUAUCAAAACGAGAAGUGAAUGAAAGGUUAUGCAUUGGAGAAGUGGGAGUCGACCUUGAACUUUGUGUUCAUGCCCAUGGACACGAUGUAGAUCCUAUCAUGGAAGCUUCUUGUAAUAAUAGCUAUUUCCUUGAUAUAAUAUCCUUUGGUAUCAGUGGAUUGAUCCUUUGCAAUCGUGGUUCUGACCAUAUGCUCUUCUCUGAUUCCAUUUCUCGGGCAAGUUUAAGCACUUGUCUUCUACAGAGCAAUACCCCAGUCAAACCUCUACUUUGGUCUGCCGUCGAGUAUUACCCCCUGGUAUCUCGAGAUUAUCAUGGAACCGCAUAACUUAUGAGUUCUUCAUCCAGUACUACCUUCUCACCGAUUCCAAUUUUUCCUGGGUUUUGAGUGGUUAGUCACUCGAGUACCCCGAUAACUGAAUCGAGUCUGCACUACGGUUCAACAACUCUUAGUAAUCUUCCUUACUUACGAGUUUGUACCCGAUCGCGUCAUUCCUAGCCUGUUUGGCUAUAUCCUUGUCGUGCCGAUUUUAACUGUGCUACCUGGUCCUUCCCGGAGCAAAAAUUUCGACGGUGAGCUAAUCUUACGUUGAUCUUCCUCGUCUUAUCAUUUGUCCUUGAACAACAAGCUUGAUUUCGAGUUUGUGUCGUACCCGUGGUUUCAAUAACUUUUUGCUUCAUCAUUCCGUUGACUUGAUGUCAUCGCCGAUCGGUUACAAAUCUUCUGGAAACCUCUCGACAAAUGUGUCAUGAUCAUCAUGAACAUUCUGAGGUCUUCCAAGAUAUCAAUCAAAUUCAUGAUGAGAAAUAACAUCCUUACCCUCGAUGAUUGGUGCUAUCAUCGACCACUUUAUUGCCUUCCGUUCAACACAAACUUGUUCGUGUUUUGUGUAUACCUUGAGAUCCUUGCUAUCCAGCAUUUGUUCUCCUUUACCUUGGAGUAUUACCAUCUUUUGUGUCAAGAAUGUCGUGAGAAAUUCACCACCUCUUAAGAAUUCUUGAUAUAGUAAUACUUCUCGCCAUCUCCGUUCAUAUCUUGGUCCCCGUGUUGUUUCAAAACUUCUAGCAACCCUAUUGCUUGAAGUUGAUGGUUGAUAGUUCGUUCUUAGACUAUAGGUUGUUGAACCACCAUUCUAACAUUGAUCGUGCAACCCAGCCCAUAUUUCAGGUGCACCUUUCAACCAAUGUUUAAUUGUGUAUGUUUCCCUUGAGCAUACAUCAUUAUAUCAUCAAAUCUGACAAAUGGUAUCUCCGUGUCCGCAUAAUUGUGGAAAUCCAUCUUUUUGGAAAUCUCAAUAAAUUGUCGCUGACUCCAUCGGCCACAUCCUCAUUUUCUCCUUGGUUAAUGAUGAACUUUUGUUUUGGAACUUGCUUCUAUAGUUCAUUUCCCGAGAAUCUUAUAAUGUCAUCUCGUCGAUUUGUGUUGCACCCCUCCCUUCUCAGGCAUCAUGAGUUUGAGGUAUCCUGACACCAAUCAGAUAUGAAUCUGGGUUAGAUAUGAUGGUUGGAACAUAUUCCCAAGAGUUAUAACAUUUGUCUUUGACCCAAUAAGGUGAUGUCAUGCCUAGGCACCUGGCCGGGGGACCUAUUGUUAUAGUUUCCUUUUUAGCAAGGUUAGCCUUUCUUCCAUGAGGAAAUUGUAAGACUUAUUCUAUAAGUUGUUCCUGAUGGAUCCUUUGUGUAUCCAUAGUCUGAUCUUUACCCAAUGACCAUGUCAAUGCUGUCUCGAAGCAUGUCUUUGGUACUCCGAUUUUCAAUAAGAACAUUUGAAGCACAAUGCUAAAUUUCUUUAUCAAAUUAUCCAAACAUCGUUGUAUGGGUAAUGUCAUAAAAUUUCUCUCCCCUUUCCUAAAGGGUUUUCUACAAUUAUAUCUUGUCAUGGAUAUCAUGCUCUCCUUGUCCUUGGGAAGGAUAUACCCCUGAAUUAUGUGUUUAAACACAUUUUCCUUUCCAUUAUUCUGUUUAAUCUGAUAAUCAUAUUUUCCUUUCCAUUGUUUGGUUUAACCUUUCUUGUGAUCUACAUGAUCCAAGUAGUAUUAUUCUCCUACUUAUGUAAACACCUAGGUGUACAAUCAUGUCGGUAAGACCCUGUUACUAUUGUUGAUGAUAUUCCGGUAACCACCGAUGGACGAGAACAUUGCCUAUUGGUCCGCCUCGUUCAACGAGCAGGAGAAUGGUUCUGUUCGUCCCUCGCACUUGGUACCGAGGUUGUUGCCGACAUAACUGACGGGCUAUCCUCUGACAUGCCUUGCUUACAUGAUCGUGCUAAUCGUCACCGCCUUCCUACUUUUAACCCACAUGGUGGGCCCAUAGCCCACAGUUCCACAGGAUCGAAACCUGACUCUCCUGUACACCCCCUGUUCCCAAAGUUAUUCCUCGCGCGUGGCCUCGUAUGUAAUUCACGAGCCACCUUCCGAUGAGAUCAUCAACUUUGGUAUCAGACACAAUACUUAUUCCCGUUGCCAUGAACCCCUUUCAUGCCUUGUUUCAGGCACCGAACGAUUGCCUGCCCGCUCGAAACUUCUCAUGAUACCUUCUUACUUUGCUCUCGAUAUUUUCAAAGGUUUCAAUUCGUGAGUUACUUUCCGCCACCUUCCUCGUUGUUAUCUACCAGAUAGUAAACCUUGAAGAGGUCCAUUCUCUCGGAAUACCCCCCUUAUUCUUUCGUAAGUACGACGGAGUUCCCGAAGGAAGGAUGACAACUUCAUCAUGAUGACCUGGAGGAAAGGAACGAAGACAUCAACAUAAUGGAUCGACCUCUUCGAGAAGAGCAACUAAGACCAAGAAGACUCGGUAGAAUUUCGUAACCACAUCUUUCCCCUUACUCCCCUCCUAAAUCUCGGGACGAGAUUUCUUGUAGUGGAGGAGAAUUGUGACGCCCGGAUAAUCAAGCUAAAGUAACCUCUGCUAAUGAUGCCACGUCACCUCGAUUACUGUUGCUAAUCUCGCGUUAGUUCGAAACCGAUACAAAUUCAAAAUUUAAUUAAAGGCAAACAAAAAAAGGUUUUCAAAUAUUGAAACCAAAUUGUUCGGGUUGUGCCAAAUAAUGCAUAAGUAAUUAUGGUGGAGAAACCAAACUUUUAUAAAGUGUUUAACUACUCUAAAAUAAAUAUGACGGUAGCAAAAACAAUUAAUUAAAUACUAAACAGUUUUGUUUUAUCACCAAACUUUUUGUGGCAUUGGGGUAUUUUGAAACACUAAUUUAGGUACUACUUAUAUAUUUUAUAAAACAAAUAUAUAUAUAGAAAAUAAAAUAGAAAAGUAAUAAACAGAAAUAGAUAAAAACCAAAAACUUAAAAAAGAGAGAAGUAAAGACAACACCCCCCAUGGCCAACUGGGCCACGACCCACCAGGCCGGCCCAACCGGCCACCCCCCACUCCCCAUAACCCCCCACUCCACCCGGUCAAACCCUAGCCCACUCUCCACUUCCCCCACGACGCUCUCCCCCUCGCUCUGGAUCUGGAUCGGGAGGAGCCCGAUCCCCUUCGCCCUCGNNNNNNNNNNNNNNNNNNNNNNNNNNNNNNNNNNNNNNNNNNNNNNNNNNNNNNNNNNNNNNNNNNNNNNNNNNNNNNNNNNNNNNNNNNNNNNNNNNNNNNNNNNNNNNNNNNNNNNNNNNNNNNNNNNNNNNNNNNNNNNNNNNNNNNNNNNNNNNNNNNNNNNNNNNNNNNNNNNNNNNNNNNCUGCCCAUACCCUACGACCCGACGUGAGCCUCGCUCCCUCCCCUCUCCCUUGCGCGACCUCGCCUACCCGCGCGUCGUGAGCGCCGCGCCUCGCACCCCCGAGCUCCGCUGCAGCCCCGCCGCUCCUGUCGCGCUCCGCCCCUGGCCUCUCCUCCUCUCGUGCCCGCGCGCACCCCGCGGCCACGCGACGCGCCUGUCUGCCUUCCGCUCGGCCAGCCUGCUCAUUCCCUCCCCCGCUCGCUGCAGCUACUGCUACUGCGCCCCACGGCUGCAUCCGCCGCACCGCGCCACUCGAUGUCGCGCGCGCCCGCGCUCACGCCCUCGCCCCCCUCGCGUUCGCUCCGCUUCGGCCGCCGCACUCCACCCCGCCGGCCUGCGCCCGCUGCUGCCGGAACGCCCUCCCCACCCGUUGAAGCUCCAACGCCGCACUCUCGGGCCGCGCCUGGGAGCCCCUGGCCGCGCGCUGCCUCUCCUGACCAUGCCCGGCCGCGUGCCGCUGCGCCCGUGUCUUCCCCGGCCGCGCACGGUUCUAGCUCCGCCACUCGCCGCCCCGCUCCGGCCUCCCUCGCCGUGCUCCGCCUCCCCACACUGGCUGCUGGCCGCUCGCCGUUGCCCGCAUCGCCGCGCCGGCAUGCCCGGUUCCACACGGGUGCCGGCGCCCAUGCCCGCACGCCCGCGCCCGUAAAACCCGUCGCUCGCGCGCCCGCUAAUCCUUUGGCCCAUUGGCAGCCGGACCCCGCCCCAGCUCCAGAGCGAUUUAAAAAAAGGAUAAAAUAAGUUAAAAUAAACAAAUUAUUAAUUAAUUAAGUUAAUUAAUUCUAUUAAAUUAAACUAAUCAAGUUUGGUUAAACUAAUUAACUACUUAAUCUAACUAAUCUGGAUUAGGACUAAAAGUGAAUGACAUGCGGGUCCCCUGGCCCACUUUGACCUGUCAACUAGGACUGUUGACUGCUGACUCAGCAGUUAACAGGUCCCAUCUGUCAUGCACAAGAACACACUGCUGGGUACACUUCCGUGUACCCAUAGCAGUUUAUGUAUUUAAUAUUAUGAAUUAAAUUAAAUCAGGAUAUUAGAAAGGAUUUAAAACUUUGAAAAAUCAUAUAAAAUAAUCCGUGACUCGGAUGAAAAGUUUUAUACAUGAAAGUUGCUCAGAACGAUGAGACGAAUCUGAAUACGUGGUUCGUUCGUCCGCCACACGUCCCUAGCAUAGCGAACAGGCAAACUUUCCCCCUCCGGUCCGUCCGUCCAAAAACGCGAAACACCAGGGAUACUUUCCCGGAUGUUUCCCCCCUUCGCCGGUAUCACCUCCUACCGCGUUAGGGCACUCCUAGCACCGUUACUUGACAUGUCAUGCAUCGUUAUGCAUCUGUUUGCAUUGUAUUCAUUGUUUCUUCCCCCUCUUCUCUCCGGUAGACUACGAGACUGACGCCGCUGCUGGUGCCCUGAUCGACUACGUUGUCGACGACCCCUCCUUCUCGGCUGAGCUUCCAGGCAAGCCCCCCCUGAUCACCAGAUAUCGCCUAUUGCUUCUCUCUACUGCUUGCAUUAGAGUAGUGUAGUAUGUUACUGCUUUCGGUUAAUCCUAUUCUGAUGCAUAGCCUGUCAUUGUGGCUACAAUUGUUGAUACCUUUACCUGCUAUCCCAAUGCUUAGUAUAGGAUGCUAGUGUUCCAUCAAUGGCCCUACACUCUUGUUCGUCUGCCAUGCUAUAUUACUGGGCCGUGAUCACUUCGGGAGGUGAUCAUGGGCAUAUGCUAUAUACUUUAUACUAUUACAUUACUUAUGAUACUGUUCAGAGACGGGGGCUGAAGGGGCAGGUGGCUCCAUCCCGGUAGAGGUGGGCCUGGGUUCCCGACAGCCCCCGACUGUUACUUUGUGGCGGAGCGACAGGGCAGGUUGAGACCACCUAGGAGAGGGUGGGCCUGGCCCUGGUCGGCGUUCGCGGUUACUUCAUAAUAACACACUUAACGAGAUCUUGGUAUUUGAUCUGAGUUUGGCCACUGGCCUAUAAGCACUAACCAACUACGCGGGAACAGUUAUGGGCACUCGACAUCGUGGUAUCAGCCGAAGCCUUCGUGACGUUAGCGACUGAGCGGCGCGCGCCGGAUUGGACUGGAACGCCUGCUAGGCUAGGUCUGCUUCCGGUCGCCCUCGCAACAUGCAGGUGUGCAAUGGGCGAUGGGCCCAGACCCUUGCGCCAUAGGAUUUAGACCGGCGUGCUGACCUCUCUGUUGUGCCUAGGUAGGGCUGCGACGUGUUGAUCUUCCGAAGCCGGGCAUAUGACCCAGGAAAGUGUGCCGGCCAAAUGGGAUCGAGCGUGUUGGGUUAUGUGGUGCACCCCUGCAGGGAAGUUUAUCUAUUCGAAUAGCCGUGUCCCUCGGUAAAAGGACGACCCGGAGUUGUACCUUGACCUUAUGACAACUAGAACCGGAUACUUAAUAAAACACACCCUUCCAAGUGCCAGAUACCACCCGGUGAUUGCUCUCUCACAGGUCGACGAGGAGAGGGUCGUUGGGUUAGGAUUAUGCUAUGCAAUGAUACUUGGUGAACUUGCCAUCUACUCUCUUCUACAUGCUGCAAGAUGGAGGCCGCCAGAAGCGUAGUCUUCGACAGGAUUAGCUAUCCCCCUCUUAUUCUGGCAUUCUACAGUUCAGUCCACCGAUAUGGCCCUUUACAAAUAUACCCAUGCAUAUGUAGUGUAGAUCCUUGCUUGCGAGUACUUUGGAUGAGUACUCACGGUUGCUUUUCCCCCCUUUUCCCCCUUUCCUUUCUUCCUGGUUGUCGCAACCAGAUGCUGGAGCCCAGGAGCCAGACGCCACCAUCGACGACGACUCCUACUGUUGGGGAUCGUUGCAGAAAUUAAAAAAAUUCUACGCAUCACCAAGAUCAAUUUAUGGAGAGACUAGCAACGAGAGAGAGGGGAGUGCAUCUUCAUACCCUUGAAGAUCCCGAUGCGUAAGCUUUACAAGAACGCGGACGAAGGAGUCAUACUCGUCGCGAUUCAGAUCGCGGUUGAUUUCGAUCUAAGCGCCGAACGACGGCGCCUCCGCGUUCAACACACGUACAGCCCGGGGAUGUCUCCUCCUUCUUGAUCCAGCAAGGGGGAAGGAGAAGUUGAGGGAGAACUCCAGUAGCACGACGACAUGGUGGCGGUGGAGCUCGUGGUUCUCUGGCAGAGCUUCGCUAAGCGCUACGAAGGAGGAGAAGGUGUAGGAAGGGGCGAGGGCUGCGCCAGGAGAAGGGGUGCUGUUGCCCUCCCACCCCCCCCACUAUUUAUAGGGGGAAGGGGAGAGGGGGCCGCCCCCCUAGAUCCAUCUAGAGGGGGAGGCGGCCCCUCGGGGGGGGCAGCGGCCCCCUUAAGGUUUCCAACUGGGGGGGCGCCCGCCCCGGGGAGGGGCAGCGGCCCCCUAGGGUUUCCAACCCUAGGCGCCUUGGGCCCUUGGGGGGCGCACCCGCCCACUAAGGGGAUGGUUCCCACCCAACUACAGCCCAUUAGGUCCUUCGGGGCAGGUGGACCCUCCCGGUGGACCCCCGGAACCCCUUCGGUGGUCCCGGUACAAUACCGAUAAACCCUGAAACCUUUCCGGUGACUGAAACUAGACUUCCCAUAUAUAAAUCUUCACCUCCGAACCAUUCCGGAACUCCUCGUGACGUCCGGGAUCUCAUCCGGGACUCUGAACAACUUUCGGUAACCACAUACAAUUCCCAUUACAACUCUAGCGUCACCGAACCUUAAGUGUGUAGACCCUACGGGUUCGGGCACUAUGCAGACAUGACCGAGACAUCUCUCCGGCCAAUAACCAACAGCGGGAUCUGGAUACCCAUGUUGGCUCCCACAUGUUCCAUGCUGAUCUCAUCGGAUGAACCACGAUGUCAAGGAUUCAAUCAAUCCCGUAUACGAUUCCGUUUGUCUACCGGUAUAGCACUUGCCCGAGAUUCGAUCGUCGGUAUACCGAUACCUUGUUCAAUCUCGUUACGGCAAGUCUCUUUACUCGUUCCUUAACACAUAAUCCGUGACCAACCCCUAAGUCACAUUGAGCUCAUUACGAUGAUGUCUUACCGAUUGGGCCCAGAGAUACCUCUCCAUCAUACGGAGUGACAAAUCCCAGUCUCGAUUCAUGCCAACCCAACAGAUACUUUCGGGGAUACCCGUAGUGUACCUUUAUAGCCACCCAGUUACGUUGUGAUGUUUGGCACACCCAAAUACCCUUACGGUAUCCGUCGUGGAAUUGUCACGGCAGAUGUCCUCGAGCUAGGACUUAGUCGUGGAGCCAUCGCAACUAGAAAGCAUGAAGGGGUUAUGCGGGACAAGGAACACGAGGGUUUAUACUGGUUCGGCCCCUUACGUUGAAGGUAAAAGCCUACGUCCAGUUUGAGGUGAUAUUGAUCAGGGUUACGAUUACCAGGGAGCUAAACAGCUAUGCCCGGCUCUCGAUCAGAUUUCUCUCUCCCCAAACCGCUGCCGGGUCGUCCCUUUAUAUAGGAAGGCUGACGCCCAGCAGCCUUCAGAGUCCCGGCCAGCUUAUAAGAGUGUCCGGCUCGGACUCUAAACUAUACUUGCCUUAUACUACAAGUUCUACUAUAAUAAUGAUUAUAACUACGGGCUUUAAGCCGUAUCCGGGUCUCAGCCCAUCUCUGGCCCAUCGUCUCCGAACUUGGCUCCGGGCUUCGGAUAAUGACCACGCGAGUAACCCGGCCCCUCCUGGCGAGUGACUCUAAGGUCUAUAUCCUCAACAUUAGGCCCCAGAUUGAUUUGAGCCGGCUCACGUCAAUCUUCCACUCUUCCAACAGAAAAAAUCUCCGGCUUACUAUUCACAUGAAGGCCAUAACCCGGAGUGACGUCAUCCUCUGGACUCCGGAUAAUCCGCCGUGACGUCAUCCUCCAUUAAGUCCGUUUUUUACUCCGCCAGAUCCGCAAUGGAUCUUUGCUUUUACUGUCAUUCCGAAAAUCGAGGCGUCGUGGGGGGGGGGGAGAUAACCACGCCGUGGUCUCCUUAAAUCUCGCGCCCACUUAUGAUCUUGCCUUAUAAAUAGGCCGGCCCGACGGGCUCUUUUCACGCUCUCUUCUUCCUCCUCGCGCCGUCGUUCCUCUGCCCGAGCUCUGCUACUGCCGCCGCCGUCGCGCCCCUGGUCUCCGUCAACUUGGCCGCUGCAUCACCCUGAUUCAGACCAGAUAAACGGCGACAACCUUUGCUCUUCUCCAACUCCGGUGAGUCUCUCCUGCCCUGCUAGAACAGAUCUGCGGUAGGGUUCAAAAUAGCUCGUCCAUGUUCUUCGCCAUUGUCCGCAAGCUUCAAUAGUUCUCGUAGUGCUGCCCUUGUUUGAUCUUUAACCUUUUAUAGAACUGGUGCGGUAGUUGUUUAGGCCUCAUUUCAAGUGCCAGUAGAUCUCUUUCCACUGUAUAUACGCUUCGUUCGAGCUCAAGAACAUCCGCUCAUCUGUUUCUAGGUCUAGAAAAUUUUCAUCUCACCCGACCAUUUUGAUCCAAAAAAGUUACUGCAAUAUGGGAAACCUGUUUUACCACACUUAGUAAAAACUGCAACUAUUGAAUCUCGACGGCUUACGACUCCGGGUUAAAGAAACCACACGCUGUAGAAUCCUCCGGUUUAAAGAAAACCAUGCAUUGUAGAUUCCUCCGGCUUAACUGCGAUGAAGCCGUAGACAAUCAAUUUAUUCUGAACACCCCUGCGGCUUAAGCAACCCACUGUACCUGAAUAUAUACCAUUAGUCCCCUUCAUAAGCCGCCACCGUAGCUUUGAACUGUAGAUCUCCGGCUUAUAAUUAACCCGGAUAUGUUUCCUUUUUGUCAUAGACCGCCAACUUUCACCAUGCCUCCCAAGGCUCCCAUCACUUGCAAUUGGAUGAGGUCCAACGUCACCAACGAGACCCUGGCCAAUUUUGUUAAGUCCGGAUAUUUGCCUAAGAAGGAAAUCAUGUCCUACCGUGCCCCUGACCCAUCGGAAGAGAGACCACAGCCAAGGGACGGGGAGGUAGUGAUCUUCGCAGAUCAUAUGAGCCAGGGCUUCGCACCGCCCGGCUCAAAGUUUUUUAGGGAUGUGCUCAACUUCUUCGACUUGCGUCCUCAAGAUAUAGGACCCAACUCCGUAUCCAACAUCUGCAAUUUCCAAGUCUUUUGCGAAGUGUACCUUGGAGAAGAGCCGAGUCUGCUGCUCUUCCGAGAGCUGUUUUACUUAAACCGCCAAAAUGAGUGCGCCAACGGGCCAAGUCUGGAGUUAGGUGGCAUCUCCAUCCAGCGGCAUAGGGACUGUCUUUUCCCUUACGCAGAGCCGCCGAGCCACCCCAAGGACUGGAAUAUGACUUGGUUCUACUGCCAAGAUACAUCCCCGACUGACGAAAACCCGCUGCCCGGCUUUCGCCCCACACGUCUAGAACCGACUCACCCGCUGUCGGACAAGCUGACUGCAGCGGAGCGCCAGCCUCUGCUUCCGACUAUCAAUAAAAUCAAGGCCCUCCCGGGCAAUGGUCUGAACGGAAUCGACCUGGUCCGGGUCUGGAUCUCAUGACGGGUGAUCCCAUUGAGCCGCCGCCCCGGCUUAAUGUGUGAGUACACCAGGCGAAAGGAUGACCCUCAGAGGCACAGUCGCAACGAUCUUCCAGAAGACGUUGCUGAGGAAGAGACCAAGACUCUGUUAAACGAGAGUCUGGCAGACUGUGGAAGGACCGGGUUAGCCCCCUUCUGCAAGACCAACCUAGCCCCAGCGGUAAGCCGCUGUCUUUAAUUUAUUAUCCCUUUCUGUAUAUAACCUUCAUAUGAACCGUUAUAAGAAUUCACCAUUGUAUUUUUCAGGCUGAUGACAAGUUCUGGCGGGUCAAGUAUGACCAUGAGGCGGCCAAGAAGGCCAGGAAGGCGAAGAAAGCCGCCAAGAAAGCCGCCCCUCGCAAAAAGGGAAGCAGACCUACUGCUUCGGAGCUGAUGUAACUAAGUGACAGCUCCGAGUCAGAGGUAACCCCUAAGCCUUUAAAUUCUUGCUGUACUUGUGGUUAGUUGUUGUCCGCCUUAUCAACACUUGCUCAUUGACAGGAUGACACCGGCGCCAGUAACCCGGUGGUUGAAGAGGUAAUGUCACUUUCCUCCGACUCGGAGCCCUUGCCACAGCUGAAAGUCCGAAGGGUAACCCGGAAAGUAAGCUUUUCACAUCCUUUAGCUCAUCGAGACCCUCAAUUUCUUUUGAAGCGACAGGUUCACGAAAGCCGGCGUCACACCCGGACCAACAAGGACACCGAUCUCUCCGCCGGGUUACCCGACGCAACAAGGAAGCGUCGCACUGAGGUUUUUUCGCACUUGUACCCUUUUCAUCCGUUGGCGGGUGUUAUCCGUCAGCCACUCAACUCUUCUGACUCCAAUUAUCAGGAGACCUCCCCCUCUUCGGGUGACUCCAUGCAGUCAAAUCUGCCGGCCUUCAAGACUGCACCCGGGUAACAACAAUCAUCUUACAGUAUCUUUAUCUGUACUUACUCUUUGUGUGCCUAACACUUCUGUCUUUUCAGUGCCCAGGCAAAGCUCUCCAAAAGAGCAAAGAAGACCAGGUCAGCUGGAGUGCCGGACGUACCUGAACCGGAGGUGACGGCUCAAGAGCCGCCAGCUGCCUCCGCCCCCGAAGCUACCACUCCAAUGGACACGGCACCUGAGGCCUCUGCCCCGACUACCAAGGCAACGACCGAAACUUCGGUUAACCCGGAGGCCUCCGGCUCAGCUCCACCAAUAGACGACCCGGACGUGGUAAUCACCCGGACGAAGUUCGUUGAGCCAGGGAGACCAACCGUGUUGGCAAAAUGCUCCGCGAAGGGGGAGUUGCUGCAGCCCCACCGGGUGAACCUGGACCUCUCCAGCUACACCGACUUAAGCAUUGGAGAGCUUGUCUCUGGCUACAUCAGCCAAGUACACAAGAGCCGGGACGCCGAGGUCGCCAUGGUCAACCAGAUCCAACAAAAAUCUGAGGUAUUCCUCUGCUGUUUUCUUACUUACUGCAUAGUUACCUUUGCCAUGCUAGCCCCCAAGUCGACGACUUAUGCUUGAAUAUGUUGUAGACUUAGGUUCCGGCUUACUCAACUAAGCCGGCAGUAUGUAGAUAGAUACGUUCAAUAUGCAUUAGCCCCCAAGUGCCAAGUGUCUUUGCUUGGAAAACGCUUGGGACUUAUAUAAUGACUGUUAAUAACCCGGAAAUAUAUGCAGGCUGUUGGCAAGAAACUAGAGGCGGACCUCGCGGAUCUCAAGAGCCGGCUGAAGAUGCAGGAAAUGGAGACCCGGAAGGCAAACGCCAAGUUUGUAUCCAGCAUCGCCACUCAAGAAAAAUUGAAGACCGAGUUUGAUGCUGAGAGAAAAACCUGGAUCGAAGAGAAAACCGCACUGGUGACCCGGGCUGAACAGGCAGAGAAGGCUCUCGCUGAAAAGACCGCCGAGCUCUCCGGCCUAAAGCGCCAGGUUUCCCAAAUGGUGGCCACUAUCUUCGGUAAGCCGCCUCACCGGCUUUCAUCAAAUUUGUAUAUGUAAUGAAUCAUCCUUGUCACCGGCUUAUCUAAUUCUGUUAAACAGGUCCCAGGAGUGCCAACCUCAACCAAAGCGUGGUCACCAAGUUAAAGGCCGUGUAUACCCUGGUGGAACAGCUCUACACCGGGUCACAGCGUGCCUUAGCUGUGGUGGCCCUAUCCAACGAGGUGCCAACUCAUCUGGCCGAAGUCCUGCGCCGGCUCGCCGUUCUGCCUCAGCGGAUCCAAGAGCUGCAACGGGCCUCCGCGAGAGCCGGAGCAAUCGCCGCGCUGAGCCGGGCCAAGGCUUUCCUACCAGAGCUAGACCCGGCAGACAUCGCCCUGGGUUAUCCAAGCCUGAAGGAAGACGGCUCAGCUUUCGAUCAGAAGGACUUUGCAGCGUGUGUGAAGGCUGUACGCCCAGUGGCCACCCUCAUCGGGAACGACACCGAUCUGACCAAGUACCAGUCGGGUUAUGACGCGGAGAAUCAGAGGAUUCCAACCCCUCGCUAUGAAGCCCUCAACCUGAUCCCGCCGGCUCGUCAGCACACCUUCGCCCCGGAGAUUGACCCGGCCGGGUUAAUUGACGAAGAAGCCCAAUUCGAAGCUCUCAGCGGCAUCAACUGGAAGUCAUCAACCUUCGAGAUCUUGGGAUCAGCCAGAGGAGAAGAUAGGAAUGAGCCGGGGACUUCAACUCAGCGAGCAUCAUAAGUUGGCCAGCGGUUUAUCAAACAAUGUUCCACCUUUUAGACUUGAAGAGUUAUUGUAAUAGAGUAGGUGCAACAGUUCAUCUCUGCCAUGCCAUCGUGCACGUGCUGAAUGCCAAGGUCUUUUGAAGUUGUCUCCUUAAUAUUUCUCCGGGUCAUAAUCAUCCCUUUGUUUUUCUCAACCUUAAAGAGGUACCUUUAAGUAUCCUGCAUAAAAAGGCAAAUCACAAGUCUCAAGGCGGCUUACCGCCCGGAGAAUCAGGUGUCUUGGAUAGAUAACCCGGAAUAUGAAUCAAAAGAGACCGGUCCCCAAUUAUCUGCUUGACAUAGCCGUAAUAACACUUAGCAGCCAGUAAGCAUACUUCCGGUUUAAAUAACCCGGGCAACAGGGUUGGUAUCUUAACUCCGCCUUACCGGUCAUAAUGACACCCAUGGCGUUCAAUGAACACUGUAAACCAAAGUUAAGCCGGUAAAGUGAGACCCGGCCGUACACACCGUGACAUGAUCAGAGCAAACUUGUGAUAAAGCAGAGGGACUUUAGGGGCUUCCGGUUCGAAUACGACCAGAGACCCGGCCCAAAGGGGUUAAGCCAAGAUUCGAAUACGAUCAUAUAGCCCCCAGCGGGUGUGGCGAUGCCAAUCAAGAGGGUAUCGACAGCUAUGUUCUCUUUGGUUUGAAUACGACCCAUGUUUGAACAGGAAGCCCCCAAGUGAUUCUUAAAAUUGUUUAACGACACUGAUUCGGAUACGAUCCACGUCGGUUCUCAGAGGGGUUAAGCUAUGAUUCAAAUAUGACCAAAGGUAACCUCCUAAUGAGCUCGGCACUUUGCCAAUCAAAUGGGUAUCGACAGCUAUGUUCUCUUUGGUUCGAAUACGACCCAUGUUUGAACAGGAAGCCCCCAAGUGACUUUACUGCUGACGACUAGAUUCGAAUACGAUCAUAAGCCGGAUCCUCCUUUAAACCAUCAUGUAAUCUUUGUAAUAAAAACACCACGCGCAUAUUUGGAGGAGAAAAAAGGACAGCGGUCCUGCUUUAUUGCUUAUCAUAUUAUAUACAUGGCUGAGACAAAUAUGUACACCACGAGAGCCGGUAGCUCAAGUGUAGUAAGGUCGAAGCUGAGCUAUGUUCCACGGCCGACGGGUCUCUUCCUCAGACUUUCGUGAAUCUUUAUGCUCCCGAAUAUCAAUGAGGUAAUAUGACCCGUUGUGCAAGUUCUUGCUGACCACAAAGGGCCCUUCCCAAGGUGGGGAUAACUUGUGUGCAUCUGUUUGAUCCUGGAUGAGCUGGAGCACAAGGUCGCCUUCCUGGAAGACCCGGGAUUUGACCCGGCGGCUAUGAUAUCGGCGCAUGUCUUGUUGGUAAAUCGCUGACCGGGCUGCUGCCACAUCACGCUGCUCAUCCAACAAGUCAAGAGCAUCCUGGCGCGCCUGUUCAUUAUCCGUCUCAACAUAAGCCGCCACGCGAGGUGAGUCGUGACGAAUGUCGCUGGGGAGGACUGCUUCUGCUCCAUAGACCAUGAAGAAAGGCGUGAAGCCUGUAGAUCUGUUAGGAGUAGUAUUGAUGCUCCAUAAGACGGAGGGCAACUCCUCCACCCAACAACCCGGCGUCCGUUGCAAAGGGACCAAAAGCCGGGGCUUGAUACCCUUCAGAAUUUCCUGGUUAGCUCUCUCAGCUUGACCAUUGGAUUGAGGAUGAGCCACUGAAGAAACAUCAAGUCGGAUAUGCUCUCGUUGACAAAACUCUUCCAUGGCACCUUUGGAAAGAUUGGUGCCAUUGUCAGUUAUAAUGUUGUGCGGAAAGCCAAAACGGAAAAUCACCUUUUUCAUAAAUUGAACCGCCGUGGCUGCAUCGCACUUGCUAACUGGCUCAGCUUCCACCCACUUGGUGAAUUUGUCAACUGCCACCAAGAGGUGGGUCUUCUUAUCCUUGGACCGUUUAAAAGGCCCAACCAUAUCAAGCCCCCAGACCGCAAAGGGCCAAGUGAUUGGGAUCAUCCUCAACUCCAGAGCCGGCACAUGAGCCCGUCGUGAGAACCUUUGGCAACCAUCACACUUACUGACCAAGUCCUCUACAUCAGCAUGAGCCGUCAGCCAAUAAAAACCAUGACGGAAAGCCUUAGCCACAAGGGAUUUUGAACCCGCAUGAUGGCCACAAUCCCCUUCAUGGAUCUCACGCAAGAUCUCUUGACCUUCCUCAGGGAGAUACAACGUUGAAAUGCCCCUGAAACACUGCGAUGAUGUAACUCGCCAUCGAUGACGAUCAUUGACUUAGCCCUGAAAGUGCCCGGCAAUGGCAUCAACCUCGCGGCGAUAAGCCGCCAUGAGAGGAUCCUUAGAAUCCCACGUGCCUGAUACUUGUUGAGCCACCAAGUCUGAGUCACCAAAGCACCUUACCCGGCUUAAGCUCAUCUCCUUAGCCACCCGAAGACCGUGGAGCAAAGCCUCGUAUUCAGCCGCAUUGUUAGUGCAAGGAAACAUCAACUGUAGCACAUAAUGGAACUUGUCCCCCUUAGGGGAAGCCAAUACAACGCCAGCCCCCGAGCCCUCCAACUGCCUGGACCCGUCAAAGUGAAUAGUCCAAUAUGUGUUAUCCGGCUUCUGCUCGGGCACUUGUGAUUCCGUCCAAUCGUUGAUGAAAUCCACCAAGGCCUGAGAUUUAACAGCAGUGCGUGGCACAUAUUUGAGGCCAUGAGGUCCAAGUUCUAUAGCCCACUUAGCAAUCCUCCCUGUGGCCUCUCUGUUUUGAAUAAUAUCACCAAGAGGGGCAGAACUGACCACAGUGAUGGGAUGACCCUGAAAAUAAUGCUUAAGCUUCCGGCUCGCCAUGAACACACCAUACACCAGCUUCUGCCAAUGCGGGUACCGCUGCUUGGACUCAAUGAGCACUUCACUGACAUAAUAAACCGGCCGCUGAACCGGAUGCUCCUUAUCCUCCUCCUUGCGUUCCACCACAAUAGCCACACUGACGGCUCGUGUGUUUGCCGCCACAUACAGUAGCAAGGGCUCCUUAUCAACCGGAGCAGCAAGGACUGGGGGCUCUGCCAGCUGCUUCUUUAAAUCCUCAAAGGCGGUAUUAGCUGCAUCAUUCCAGACAAAGGUAUCAGUUUUCUUCAUUAACUGAUAUAGGGGCAUGGCCUUCUCACCCAAACGGCUUAUAAAUCGGCUUAAAGCAGCGAUGCGACCCGCCAAGCGCUGAACGUCAUUUAUACAUGCCGGCUUAGCCAAGGAGGUGAUGGCCUUGAUCUUCUCCGGGUUAGCCUCAAUGCCUCUGUCAGAAACCAAGAAGCCCAAGAGUUUGCCUGCAGGAACACCAAAGACACACUUGGCCGGGUUAAGCAUCAUCUUAUAGACCCGGAGAUUAUCAAAGGUUUCCCUUACAUCAUCUAUCAGGGUUUCCUCUUUGAUGGAUUUAACCACAAUGUCGUCCACAUAAGCGUGAACAUUGCGCCCAAUCUGCUUAUGAAGACAGUUCUGUACACAACGCUGGUAAGUCGCCUGUGCACACUUGAGUCCAAAGGGCAUAGACACAUAGCAGAAGGCUCCAAAGGGAGUAAUAAACGCCAUCUUCUCCUGGUCCUUAACUGCCAUUUUGAUCUGAUGAUAACCAGAAUAAGCACCCAAGAAACUUAAACAUGCACAACCUGCCGUAGCAUCAAUGAUUUGAUCAAUACGGGGGAGGGCAAAAGGAUCAGCCGGACACGCCUUGUUCAAGUCCGUGUAGUCCACACACAUCCGCCAGGUGCCGUUCUUCUUGAGUACAAGCACCGGGUUAGCCAACCACUCUGGGUGAAGAACUUCACCGAUAAACCCGGCCACCAAGAGCCGGGCUACUUCUUCACCAAUAGCUUUCCGUCUUUCCUCAUUAAACCGCUGAAGGAAUUGUCUGACCGGUUUAAAUUUCGGAUCAACAUUGAGAGUAUGCUCAGCGAGUUCUCUAGGUACACCUGGCAUGUCAGAAGGUUUCCAUGCGAAGAUGUCCCUAUUCUCACGGAUGAACUCGAUGAGCGCGUUUUCCUAUUUUGGGUCCAGAUUGGCACUGAUGCUAAACUGCUGAGAUGAAUCUCCUGGAACAAAAUCAACAAGCUUAGUUUCAUCAGCCGACUUAAAUUUCAUCGCCGGCUCGUUCUCCGUCGUCGGCUUUUUCAGAGAGGUCAUAUCUAUUGGGUCAACAUUGUCCUUGUAAAACUUCAACUCCUCCGUAGCACAAACAGAUUCUGCAUAAGCCGCAUCACCUUCCUCACACUCCAGAGCCACUUUCCGGCUGCCGUGAACCAUAAUGGUCCCGUUGUGACCCGGCAUCUUGAGCUGUAAAUACACAUAACAUGGCCGUGCCAUGAACUUGGCAUAAGCCGGCCGUCCAAAUAUAGCAUGGUAUGGACUUCUUAUCUUGACCACUUCAAAGGUCAAUUUCUCCACCCUGUAGUUAUUCUCAUCACCAAAAGCCACUUCCAAUUCGAUCUUGCCAACUGGAUAAGCCGACUUACCAGGUACUACACCAUGAAAGAUAGUGUUGGACUGGCUGAGGUUCUUAUCAACCAACCCCAUACGACGAAAAGUCUCAUAAUAGAGGAUGUUGAUGCUGCUGCCUCCAUCCAUGAGCACCUUUGUGAACUUAUAUCCUCACACUUGAGGAGCCACCACUAAGGCCAAGUGGCCCGGGUUAUCCACCCGAGGAGGGUGAUCCUCCCUACUCCACACUAUGGGCUGCUCAGACCAUCGUAAGUAGCGUGGGACUGCCGGCUCAACAGCAUUCACAGCCCUCUUGUGAAGCUUCUGGUCUCGCUUGCACAGACUAGUGGUAAAUACAUGAUACUGUCCACCGCUUAGCUGCUUUGGAUUGGUCUGAUAACCCCCCUGCUGCUGUUGAUGACCCUGGCCAGCCUGUUGAUUAAAGCCCCCUUGACCAUUCUGAGGACCGGAAUUUGAGCCGCCGCCCGGGCCAUGAAAACCGCCAGCACCUGAGCCGCCGCCCGGGCCAUUGUAAUUCUUAAAGGCCUUCAUGAUCGCGCAAUCCUUCCACAGAUGAGUCGCUGGCUUUUCUCUAGAACCGUGCCUUGGACAAGGUUCAUUUAACAGCUGCUCCAGCGUUGGACCUGACCCGCCGCCUCGGGGAGGGGGCCUCCCCUUGCGUCGCUGGUUAUUACCUUGGGAGUUGGCAUUGGCUACAAACUCUAGGCUGCCAUCGGCCUUGCGCUUGCCUCCUCCUUGGAUCCCCGGGUUAAACUGAGGACCCUUGCCAUUGCCGUUCUUCUUUCCCUUCCCUGUCCUUUCAUCAUCUGAAGGGGGAUCCUUGGUACCAUCGGAAUCGGCGUACUUGACAAGAGCCGCCAUUAGUGUACCCAUAUCGGUGCAGUCGUGUUUGAGCCGCCCGAGUUUCAUCUUUAGGGGCACAAAGCGACAGUUUUGUUCCAACAUUAAGACUGCAGAGCCGGCAUCCAUCUUAUCUGAUGAAUGUAUGAUCUCCUUGACCCGGCGAACCCAAUGGGUCGUGGACUCACCCUCCUGCUGCUUACAGUUAGUCAAAUCCACGAUUGACAUAGACUGCCUACAGGUAUCUUUGAAGUUUUGGAUGAACCGGGCUUUCAGCUCGGCCCAAGACCCAAUGGAAUUCGGUGGUAGCCCUUUCAACCAUGUGCGGGCAGUUCCAUCUAACAUCAUGGUGAAAUACUUGGCCAUGGCCGCCUCACUGACCUCCAGCAAUUCCAUAGCCAUCUCAUAACUCUCAAUCCAGGCCGCAGGCUGUAAGUCAGCUGUGUAGUUAGGCACCUUCCUAGGGCCUUUGAAGUCUUUAGGUAGACGUUCAUUACGGAUAGCUGGCACCAAACAAGGGACACCCCCGGUCCUGGUAGGGAUACCCACAUCAACGGAAGUCGUGGGAUAAGCCGGGGGGGUCUGGUAAGCCGUCAAUGGAGGCACUUGCUCCGCCUCUUGCCGCGCUUGGUCCGCUGUGUAAAAGGCUCCAUUAUGAGCCGGGCCAUGGACAGGGGGUGGGUCAUGGCGUCGGACGUUACUUGAGCCGGUUGCUGAGACCAUGUACCGGUUGUAACUCGGGCUCUGGCCUGGACGAGGGGUCGAGUGGAUCCUGUCCCAGCUGUAAGAGUAUGCCUCUUGCUGCGCCAGUGCUGUCUGAAGGAGUUCCCUGACCCGGCGGGUCUCAAUAGCCGUCGGAGAGUCGCCGUCAACGGGGAGGGCCGCCAGCCGUGCUGCCGCAGCGACCAUGUUCUCCAGUGGGUUAUUAUAAUGACCCGGGGGUAUUGGCACAUGCUGAGGCGGGGCAGGGGGCACCUGGGGAGGCCCCAUCACCCAUGGCUGAAUAAGGGGUCCAGACCCGGGUGCUAUGACCCCUGGCGGGUUACUAGACCCUGCACCCGGCGUGUUGAAGAGGUUGCGUGGAUCGUAAACCGGCGGGAGUCGGGACUGGGCCUUUUGAUGCCUCCUUCUCAUGACCUCAUUGGCCGCGUUCUGAUCCAUCGUGAGUUGGAAGGACUGCGCCUGAAUCAGCUGAGUCUGGGCAUCGAUAGCCGCCCGCUCUGCAGCCAGCCUGAUUCCUUCCGCUGCAAGAUCCUCUUUAGCCUUUAUCAGAUCCAAUUUCAACUGUGCCACCUCCGCAUCAUGCUGGGCUUGAUCCGCCGGGUCAACCGUGGCGGUUAACAGGGCCGUCAUCUUGUCCCGUGAGAUCCAUCAGCACCUGAGCCGGAGAAGGCACCGGGUUUCCCGAUCCGGCAGCGGGGUUCUGAACAAGCUGUGCACCAGCCAUAAAAACUCCAACCUGACUUGGCGGCUCAAAAAGGUCCAGAAUACCGUCGCCAUUGGAACAACCCAUGAGCCUGCCAUCUUGAAGUUGGUACAACGAGCUUGACUCAUCGGUGGCCGACUCGCCGUCAGAGCCGGCGGCCGCCUCAUCACCGGACCCCGAUGGCUCAGAGGGCCCUCCAUGGAUGCAUCCCACAAAGGCGCGCCUUAAGGCAGGCCGGGCCCGGGCGGGUCGUGCGCGCUGAGCCGUUUCGAUGAGAUCGGCACAGAGACCCGACUCGGGGCCCGGCUCACCGAUUUCGCCAAUGAAAACAUGAAUUCCGCCGAAGGGGACCCGGUACCCGUACACAAUUGAGCCGGCGUCGGGGCCCCAGUUUAUAUCGUCGAUGUAGAGCCUGUCGCGACGACUCUUGGUCAUCCGGCCCACAGCGUAUCCCUUGAGCCCUUCGAAGCUGCCCUUCAAGAACUCAAAUCCACCGUGCGCUGGCCCCAUGGUGGGCGCCAACUGUCGUGGAAUUGUCACGGCAGAUGUCCUCGAGCAGGACUUAGUCGUGGAGCCAUCGCAACUAGAAAGCUUGAAGGGGUUAUGCGGGACAAGGAACACGAGGGUUUAUACUGGUUCGGCCCCUUACGUUGAAGGUAAAAGCCUACGUCCAGUUUGAGGUGAUAUUGAUCAGGGUUACGAUUACCAGGGAGCUAAACAGCUAUGCCCGGCUCUCGAUCAGAUUUCUCUCUCCCCAAACCGCUGCCUGGUCGUCCCUUUAUAUAGGGAGGCUGACGCCCAGCAGCCUUCAGAGUCCCGGCCAGCUUAUAAGAGUGUCCGGCUCGGACUCUAAACUAUACUUGCCUUAUACUACAAGUUCUACUAUAAUAAUGAUUAUAACUACGGGCUUUAAGCCGUAUCCGGGUCUCAGUCCAUCUCUGGCCCAUCGUCUUCGAACUUGGCUCCGGGCUUCGGAUAAUGACCACGCGAGUAACCCGGCCCCUCCUGGCGGGUGACUCUAAGGUCUAUAACCUCAACAGUAUCCGGGAGUUGCACAAUCUCAUGGUCUAAGGAAAAGAUACUUGACAUUAGAAAAGCUUUAGCAGACGAACUACACGAUCUUGUGCUAUGCUUAGGACUGGGUCUUGUCCAUCACAUCAUUAUCCUAAUGAUGUGAUCCCGUUAUCAAUGACAUCCUAUGUUCAUGGUUAGGAAACCGUAACCAUCUAUUGAUCAACGAGCUAGUCAACUAGAGGCUCACUAGGGACAUGUUGUGGUCUAUGUAUUCACACAUGUAUUACGAUUUUCGGAUAACACAAUUAUAGCAUGAACAAUAGACAAUUAUCAUGAACAAGGAAAUAUAAUAAUAACCAUUUUAUUAUUGCCUCUAGGGCAUAUUUCCAACAGUCUCCCACUUGCACUAGAGUCAAUAACCUAGUUACAUUGUGAUGAAUCGAACACCCAUAGAGUUCUGGUGUUGAUCAUGCUUUGCACGUGGAAGAGGUUUAGUCAACGGAUCUGCGACAUUCAGGUCCGUAUGCACUUUACAAAUCUCUAUGUCUCCAUCUUGAACAUUUUCACGAAUGGAGUUGAAGCGACGCUUGAUAUGCCUGGUCUUCUUGUGAAACCUGCGCUCCUUGGCAAGGGCAAUAGCUCCAGUGUUGUCACAGAAGAGAGUCAUCGGGCCCGACUCAUUGGGAAUAACUCCUAGGUCGGUAAUGAACUCCUUCAUCCAGAUUGCUUCAUGUGCUACCUCCGAGGCUGCCAUGUACUCCGCUUCACAUGUAGAUCCCGCCACGACGCUUUGCUUGCAACUACACCAGCUGACUGCCCCACCAUUCAAAAUAUACACGUAUCCGGUUUGUGACUUGGAGUCAUCCAGAUCUGUGUCGAAACUAGCAUCGACGUAACCCUUUACGACGAGCUCUUCGUCACCUCCAUAAACGAGAAACAUAUCCUUAGUCCUUUUCACGUACUUCAGGAUAUUCUUGACUGAUGUCCAGUGUUCCAUGCCGGGAUUACUUUGGUACCUUCCUACCAAACUUACGGCAAGGUUUACAUCAGGUCUGGUACACAGCAUGGCAUACAUAAUAGACCCUAUGGCCGAGGCAUAGGGGAUGACCCUCAUCUUUUCUCUAUCUUCUGCCGUGGUCGGGCAUUGAGCCGUGCUCAAUCUCACACCUUGCAAUACAGGCAAGAACCCCUUCUUGGACUGAUCCAUAUUGAACUUCUUCAAUAUCUUGUCAAGGUACGUGCUUUGUGAAAGACCAAUGAGGCGUCUCGAUCUAUCUCUAUAGAUCGUGAUGCCUAAUAUGUAAGCAGCUUCUCCAAGGUCCUUCAUUGAAAAACACUUAUUCAAGUAGGCCUUUAUGCUUUUCAAGAGUUCUAUAUCAUUUCCCAUCAAUAGUAUGUCAUCCACAUAUAAUAUGAGAAAUGCUACAGAGCUCCCACUCACUUUCUUGUAAACACAGGCUUCUCCAUAAAUCUGCGUAAACCCAAACACUUUGAUCAUCUCAUCAAAACGAAUGUUCCAACUCCGAGAUGCUUGCACCAGCCCAUAGAUCAAGCGUUGGAGCUUGCAUACCUUGUCAGCAUUCUUAGGAUCGACAAAACCUUCCGGCUGCAUCAUAUAUAAUUCUUCCUUAAGGAAACCAUUAAGGAAUGCUGUUUUGACGUCCAUUUGCCAUAUCUCAUAAUCAUAUAAUGCGGCAAUUUCUAACAUGAUUCAGACAGACUUCAGCUUCACUAUGGGUGAGAAGGUCUCAUCAUAGUCAACCCCUUGAACUUGUCGAUAACCCUUAGCGACAAGCCGAGCCUUAUAGAUGGUUACAUUACCAUCCGCGUAUGUCUUCUUCUUAAAGAUCCAUUUAUUUUCUAUGGCUCGCCAAUCAUCGGGCAAGUCAGUCAAAGUCCAUACUUCAUUUCAUACAUGGAUCCUAUCUCGGAUUUCAUGGCUUCAAGCCAUUUGUCAAAAUUCGGGCCCGCCAUCGCUUCUUCAUAGUUCGAAGGUUCACCAUUGUCUAACAACAUGAUUUCCAGGACAGGGUUGCCGUACCACUCUGGUGCGGAACGUGUCCUUGUGGACCUAUGAAGUUCAGUAGCAACUUGAUCUGAAGUUUCAUGAUCAUCAUCAUUAACUUCCUCUCUAGUCGGUGCAGGCACCACAAAAACAUUUUCUUGAGCUGCGCUACUCUCCGGUUCAAGAGGCAAUACUUCAUCAAGUUCUACUUUCCUCCGACUUACUUCUUUCGAGAGAAACUCUUUCUCUAGAAAGGAUCCAUUCUUGGCAACAAAGAUCUUGCCUUCGGAUCUGAGGUAGAAGGUAUACCCAAUAGUUUCCUUAGGGUAUCCUAUGAAGACACAUUUUUCCGAUUUGGGUUCGAGCUUUUUAGGUUGAAGUUUCUUGACAUAAGAAUCGCAUCCCCAAACUUUCAGAAACGACAGCUUAGGUUUCUUCCCAAACCACAAUUCAUACGGUGUCGUCUCAACGGAUUUCGACGGAGCCCUAUUUAAAGUGAAUGCGGCAGUCUCUAUAGCAUAACCCCAAAAUGAUAGCGGUAGAUCGGUAAGAGUCAUAGAUCGCACCAUAUCCAAUAGAGUGCGAUUAUGACGUUUGGACACACCAUUACGCUGAGGUGUUCCAGGCGGCCUGAGUUGUGAAACAAUUCCACAUUUCCUUAAGUGCGUGCCAAAUUCGUGACUCAAAUAUUCUCCCCCACGAUCUGAUCAUAAGAACUUGAUUUUCCUGUCACGUUGAUUCUCAACCUCACUCUGAAAUUCCUUGAACUUUUCAAAGGUCUCAGACUUGUGUUUCAUUAAGUAGACAUACCCAUAUCUACUUAAGUCAUCCGUGAGGGUGAGAUCAUAGCGAUAACCACCGCGAGCCUCAACACUCAUUGGACCGCACACAUCAGUAUGUAUGAUUUCCAAUAAGUUGGUUGCUCGCUCCAUUGUUUCGGAGAACGGAGUCUUGGUCAUUUUGCCCAUGAGGCAUGGUUCGCACGUGUCAAAUGAUUCAUAAUCAAGAGACUCCAAAAGUCCAUCUGCAUGGAGUUUCUUCAUGCGUUUGACACCAAUGUGACCAAGGCGGAGUGCCACAAGUAUGUGGGACUAUCAUUAUCAACCUUACAUCUUUUGGCAUUCACACUAUGAAUAUGUGUAACAUCACGUUCGAGAUUAAAUAAGAAUAAAACAUUGACCAGCGGGGCAUGACCAUAAAACAUGUCUCUCAUAUAAAUAGAACAACCAUUAUUCUCAGAUUUAAAUGAGUAGCCAUCUCGCAUUAAACGAGAUCCAGAUACAAUGUUCAUGCUCAAAGCUGGUACUAAAUAACAAUUAUUGAGGUUUAAAACUAAUCCCGUAGGUAGAUGUAGAGGUAGCAUGCCGACGGCGAUCACAUCGACCUUGGAACCCUUCCCGACGCGCAUCGUCACCCCGUCCUUCGCCAGUCUCCGCUUAUUCCGCAGCUCCUGUUUUGAGUUACAAAUAUGAGCAACCGCACCGGUAUUAAAUACCCAGGAGCUACUACAAGCGCUGGUUAGGUACACAUCAAUAACAUGUAUAUCACAUAUACCUUUGGUAUUGCCGGCCUUCUUAUCCGCUAAGUACUUGGGGCAGUUUCGCUUCCAGUGACCGUUUCCCUUGCAAUAAAAGCACUCAGUCUCAGGCUUGGGUCCAUGCUUUGGCUUCUUCCCAGCAACUAGCUUACCGGGCGCGGCAACUCCCUUGCCGUCCUUCUUGAAUUUCUUCUUACCCUUGCCUUUCUUGAACUUAGUGGUUUUAUCCACCAUCAACACUUGAUGUUCCUUUUUGAUCUCCACCUCCGCUGAUUUCAGCAUUGAAUAUACCUCAGGAAUGGUCUUUUCCAUCCCCUGCAUAUUGAAGUUCAUCACAAAGCUCUUGUAGCUAGGUGGGAGCGACUGAAGGAUUCUGUCAACGACCGCAUCAUCCGGGAGAUUAACUCCCAGCUGAGAUAAGCGGUUGUGCAACCCAGACAUUUUGAGUAUGUGCUCGCUGACAGAACUAUUCUCCUCCAUCUUACAACUGUAGAACUUGUCAGAGACUUCAUAUCUCUCGACCCGGGCAUGAGCUUGGAAAACAAUUUUCAGCUCUUGGAACAUCUCAUAUGCUUCGUGCUGCUCAAAACGCUUUUGGAGCUCCGGUUCUAAGCUGUAAAGCAUGCCGCACUGAACCAGGGAGUAAUUAUCACUACGCGACUGCCAGGCGUUCAUAACGUCUUGAGUUGCUGGAAAAACAGGUGCAUCACCUAGCGGUGCUUCAAGGACAUAUGCUUUCUUGGCAUCUAUGAGGAUAAUCCUCAGGUUACGGACCCAGUCUGUGUAGUUGCUACCAUCGUCUUUCAGCUUGGUUUUCUCUAGGAACGAGUUGAAGUUGAGGGCAACAUUAGCGUGGGCCAUUUGAUCUACAAGACAUAUUGCAAAGUUUUAGACUGUGUUCAUGAUAAUUAAGUUCAUCUAAUCAAAUUAUUUAAUGAAAUCCCACUCAGAUAGACAUCCCUCUAGUCAUCUAAGUGAUACAUGAUCCGAGUCAACUAGGCCGUGUCCGAUCAUCACGUGAGACGGACUAGUCAUCAUCGGUGAACAUCUUCAUGUUGAUCGUAUCUUCUAUACGACUCAUGUUCGAUCUUUUGGUCUUCCGUGUUCCGAGGCCAUGUCUGUACAUGCUAGGCUCGUCAAGUCAACCUAAGUGUAUUGCAUAUGUAAAUCUAGCUUACACCCGUUGUAUGCGAACGUUAGAACCUAUCACACCCGAUCAUCACGUGGUGCUUCGGAACAACGGACCUUAGCAACGGUGCACAGAUAGGGGGAACACAAUUCUUGAUAUUUUAAUGAGGGGUCAUCUUAUUUAUGCUACCGUCGUUCUAAGCAAAUAAGAUGUAAAAACAUGAUAAACAUCACAUGCAAUCAAAUAGUGACAUGAUAUGGCCAAUAUCAUUUUGCUCCUUUUGAUCUCCAUCUUCGGGGCGCCAUGAUCAUCAUCGUCACCGGCAUGACACCAUGAUCUCCAUCAUCGUGUCUUCAUGAAGUUGUCUCGUAAACUAUUACUUCUACUACUAUGGCUAACGGUUUAGUAAUAAAGUAAAGUAAUUACAUGACGUUUAUGUUGACAGACAUGUCAUAAAUAAAUUAAGACAACUCCUAUGGCUCCUGCCGGUUGUCAUACUCAUCGACAUGCAAGUCGUGAUUCCUAUUACAAGAACAUGAUCAAUCUCAUACAUCACAUAUAUCAGUCAUCACAUCCUUUUGGCCAUAUCACAUCACACGACAUAUGCUGCAAAAACAAGUUAGACGUCCUCUAAUUGUUGUUGCAAAUUUUUACGUGGCUGCUACAGGUUUCUUAGCAAGAACGUUUCUUACCUACGCCAAAACCACAACGUGAUAUGCCAAUUUCUAUUUACCCUUCAUAAGGACCCUUUUCAUCGAAUCCGAUCCGACUAAAGUGGGAGAGACAGUCACCCGCUAGCCACCUUAUGCAACUAGUGCAUGUCAGUUGGUGGAACCUGUCUCACGUAAGUGUACGUGUAAGGUCGGUCCGGGCCGCUUCAUCCCACGAUGCCGCCGAAUCAAGAUAAGACUAGUAACGGCAAGUAAAUUGACAAAAUCGACGCCCACAACAACUUGUGUUCUACUCGUGCAUAGAAACUACGCAUAGACCUAGCUCAUGAUGCCACUGUUGGGGAUCAUUGCAGAAAUUAAAAAAAUUCUACGCAUCACCAAGAUCAUUCUAUGGAGAGACUAGCAACGAGAGAGAGGGGAGUGCAUCUUCAUACCCUUGAAGAUCGCGAUGCGGAAGCGUUACAAGAACGCGGAUGAAGGAGUCGUACUCGUAGCGAUUCAGAUCGCGGUUGAUUCCGAUCUAAGCGUCGAACGAUGGCGCCUCCACGUUCAAAACACGUACAGCCCGGGGAUGUCUCCUCCUUCUUGAUCCAGCAAGGGGGGAGGAGAAGUUGAGGGAGAGCUCCGGCAGCACGACGGCGUGGUGGCGGUGGAGCUCGUGGUUCUCCGGCAGAGCUUCGCUAAGCGCUACGGAGGAGGAGAAGGUGUAGGAAGGGGGGAGGGCUGCGCCAGGAGAAGGGGUGCGGUUGCCCUCCCACCCCCCCACUAUUUAUAGGGGAUUGGGAGAGGGGGGCGGCCCCCUAGAUGCAUCUAGAGGGGGGCGGCGGCCCCUCGGGGGGGGGGGGGCAGCGGCCCCCUUAGGGUUUCCAACUAGGGGGGGCAGCGGCCCCCUAGGGUUUGCAGCCCUAGGCGCCUUGGACCCUUGGGGGGCGCACCAGCCCACUAAGGGGCUGGUUCCCACCCAACUACAGCCCAUUAGGUCCUUCGGGGCAGGUGGACCCUCCCGGUGGACCCCCGGAACCCCUUCGAUGGUCCCGGUACAAUACCGAUAAACCCCGAAACCUUUCCGGUGACUGAAACUGGACUUCCCAUAUAUAAAUCUUCACCUCCAGACCAUUCCGGAACUCCUCGUGACGUCCGGGAUCUCAUCCGGGACUCCGAACAACUUUCGGUAACCACAUACAAUUCCCAUUACAACUCUAGCGUCACCAAACCUUAAGUGUGUAGACCCUACGGGUUCGGGAACUAUGCAGACAUGACCGACACAUCUCUCCGGCCAAUAACCAACAGCGGGAUCUGGAUACCCAUGUUGGCUCCCACAUGUUCCACGAUGAUCUCAUCAGAUGAACCACGAUGUCAAGGAUUUAAUCAAUCCCGUAUACGAUUCCCUUUGUCUACCGGUAUAGCACUUGCCCGAGAUUCGAUCGUCGGUAUACCGAUACCUUGUUCAAUCUCGUUACGGCAAGUCUCUUUACUCGUUCCGUAACACAUCAUCCCGUGACCAAUCCCUUAGUCACAUUGAGCUCAUUACGAUGAUGUCUUGCCGAGUGGGCACAGAGAUACCUCUCCAUCAUACUGAGUGACAAAUCCCAGUCUCGAUUCGUGCCAACCCAACAGAUACUUUCGGGGAUACCCGUAGUGUACCUUUAUAGCCACCCAGUUACGUUGUGACAUUUGGCACACCCAAAGUACCCUUACGGUAUCCGGGAGUUGCACAAUCUCAUGGUCUAAGGAAAAGAUACUUGACAUUAGAAAAGCUUUAGCAGACGAACUACACGAUCUUGUGCUAUGCUUAGGAUUGGGUCUUGUCCAUCACAUCAUUAUCCUAAUGAUGUGAUCCCGUUAUCAAUGACAUCCUAUGUCCAUGGUUAGGAAACCGUAACCAUCUAUUGAUCAAUGAGCUAGUCAACUAGAGGCUCACUAGGGACAUGUUGUGGUCUAUGUAUUCACACAUGUAUUACGAUUUCCGGAUAACACAAUUAUAGCAUGAACAAUAGACAAUUAUCAUGAACAAGGAAAUAUAAUAAUAACCAUUUUAUUAUUGCCUCUAGGGCAUAUUUCCAACACCUACUACACCGGAGGUGCCUACUACUACGUGCAGGCCGCUGACGACGACCAGGAGUAGUUUAGGAGGAUCCCAGGCAGGAGGCCUGCGCCUCUUUCGAUUUGUAUCCCAGUUUGUGCUAGCCAUCUUAUGGCAACUUGUUUAACUUAUGUCUGUACUCAGAUAUUGUUGCUUCCGCUGACUCGUCUAUGAUCGAGCACUUGUAUUUGAGCCCUCGAGGCCCCUGGCUUGUAUUAUGAUGCUUGUACGACUUAUUUAUGUUUUAGAGUUGUGUUGUG
This 29892-nucleotide long non-coding RNA is filed under the name Triticum aestivum (bread wheat). RNAcentral's name for it is "long non-coding RNA (TAES_LNC004640)". The record is from RNAcentral. Lineage: Eukaryota; Viridiplantae; Streptophyta; Magnoliopsida; Poales; Poaceae.